AGACGAGGUCUAUGCGCAGGUCUGAUUUUAUUCGGGAAGUACAUGGGGUUUUAUAGUGUCAUGGAGGCGGGGAGGUUGUGGGAGGGGCAUGUCCGCGGGGCAGCUGAGGAUUGGCUGCAGAGGCAAGGGCGGACCUGCGGUUUAUGACGUAAGCCAUUGAUGGCAGGGGGGGUUGUUUCCGAGGUUGUGCCGGGGCGGAUACGGGAUGAGGGCGGUUGAAAUGAGGCGGGGAGAACAGCGAUCGGCUGGGAGGGGGAAGAUAACAGUGGCUGGGAGGAGGGGCAGAGGGAGGCAGCAGCACAAACUGCUGCUGAGAAGGGCCAUAAUACAGGGAGGUUACGAGGAACAGGCGGGCAAAGUAUAAGGAAGCGAAAGGCAGGGUGGGAGCAGGGGACAGGGUGUUUCCUAACUGUAGCCCUCCUCUUUCCAAUGAGGAAGAUUUGAGAUGUGUCCUUCAGAGUCUACUCACCUUACAGCAGAGUGCAGGAGUGCAGCAUACUUUCGUAAAUUUGUGUGACGUCUGUUCAGUGAGUUGGAGAGGGUGUGGUUGGAAACAUAAUGCUGUGCUUAUAAUGUGUUAAUGAAAGCCCUGCAGCUGUUGAAACUGCCCCAGAGAGAAGCAAAUACUGUAAAAGGAAAAAAUGCCAAGGAGAAAGACAUGAGGACAAUAGAAAUGAAAGGGAGGAAUCACAGCCAGAUCCGGAGCCAUUUGCAGUCACUGUUAGUUUGGAGAGAAAUGAACGGAAACAAGAAGGA
This 756-nucleotide long non-coding RNA is filed under the name Dasypus novemcinctus (nine-banded armadillo). RNAcentral's name for it is "lncRNA (ENSDNOG00000050433.1)". Lineage: Eukaryota; Metazoa; Chordata; Mammalia; Cingulata; Dasypodidae. The record is from RNAcentral.